GUCGAACGCAUCCCGUUGAAUUGAAGUGCUUGCACUGAUAGUCAACAUCGGAUGAGUGGCGAACUGGUGAGUAACACGUGGGUAACCUGCCCAGAAGCGGGGGAUAACACUUGGAAACAGGUGCUAAUACCGCAUAACAACAAAAACCGCAUGGUUUUUGUUUGAAAGAUGGUUUCGGCUAUCACUUCUGGAUGGACCCGCGGCGUAUUAGCUAGUUGGUGGAGUAAUGGUUCACCAAGGCAAUGAUACGUAGCCGACCUGAGAGGGUAAUCGGCCACAUUGGGACUGAGACACGGCCCAAACUCCUACGGGAGGCAGCAGUAGGGAAUCUUCCACAAUGGACGAAAGUCUGAUGGAGCAACGCCGCGUGAGUGAAGAAGGCUUUAGGGUCGUAAAACUCUGUUGUUGAAGAAGAACGUGUGUGAGAGUAACUGUUCACACAGUGACGGUAUUCAACCAGAAAGCCACGGCUAACUACGUGCCAGCAGCCGCGGUAAUACGUAGGUGGCAAGCGUUGUCCGGAUUUAUUGGGCGUAAAGCGAGCGCAGGCGGUUUCUUAAGUCUGAUGUGAAAGCCUUCGGCUUAACCGGAGAAGUGCAUCGGAAACUGGGAGACUUGAGUGCAGAAGAGGACAGUGGAACUCCAUGUGUAGCGGUGAAAUGCGUAGAUAUAUGGAAGAACACCAGUGGCGAAGGCGGCUGUCUGGUCUGUAACUGACGCUGAGGCUCGAAAGCAUGGGUAGCGAACAGGAUUAGAUACCCUGGUAGUCCAUGCCGUAAACGAUGAGUGC
Molecule: ribosomal RNA, 790 nt
Filed under: Lactobacillus sp. HumL3
Lineage: Bacteria; Bacillati; Bacillota; Bacilli; Lactobacillales; Lactobacillaceae
Description: bacterial SSU rRNA
Rfam family: Bacterial small subunit ribosomal RNA
Source: RNAcentral